AUACGGAGGAUCCGAGCGUUAUCCGGAUUUAUUGGGUUUAAAGGGUGCGCAGGCGGGAGAUUAAGUCGGCGGUGAAAUUUUGCAGAUCAACUGUAAAAGUGCCUUCGAAACUGGAUUCCUUUAGUGUAGAUGAAGUAGGCGGAAUUUUUGGUGUAGCGGUGAAAUGCAUAGAUAUCACGAGGAACUCCGAUUGCGCAGGCAGCUUACUAAACUACUACUGACGCUCAGGCACGAAGGCGUGGGGAUCAAACAGGAUUAGAUACCCUGGUAGUCCACGCAGUAAACGAUGAUUACUAGCUGUUGGCGAUACAAUGUAAGCGGCUGAGCGAAAGCGUUAAGUAAUCCACCUGGGGAGUACGUUCGCAAGAAUGAAACUCAAAGGAAUUGACGGGG
RNAcentral lists this ribosomal RNA (393 nucleotides) under uncultured bacterium. RNAcentral's name for it is "partial 16S ribosomal RNA". It matches the Rfam family "Bacterial small subunit ribosomal RNA", at positions 523 to 918 of the family's 1533-position model. The record is from RNAcentral.